GCACGAAGCCGGAGUUGCUAGUAAUCGCGAAUCAGAAUGUCGCGGUGAAUGCGUUCCCGGGUCUUGUACACACCGCCCGUCACACCAUGGAAGUUGGGGGUGCCCAAAGCCAGCAAGCAAAUAUGCUGUCUAAGGCAAAACCAAUGACUGGGGUGAAGUCGUAACAAGGUACC
Molecule: ribosomal RNA, 173 nt
Filed under: uncultured bacterium
Lineage: Bacteria
Description: partial 16S ribosomal RNA
Rfam family: Bacterial small subunit ribosomal RNA
Source: RNAcentral